RNAcentral lists this transfer RNA (71 nucleotides) under Saccharomonospora phage PIS 136. It matches the Rfam family "tRNA". From Rfam's summary of the family: Transfer RNA (tRNA) molecules are approximately 80 nucleotides in length. Their secondary structure includes four short double-helical elements and three loops (D, anti-codon, and T loops). Lineage: Duplodnaviria; Heunggongvirae; Uroviricota; Caudoviricetes. The record is from Rfam by way of RNAcentral.
GGCGGUGUGGCCGAGGGGUGAGGCAAGGGCCUGCAAAGCCCUGCACACGGGUUCAAAUCCCGUCGCCGCCU